GCUUGGAAGCAGCCAUUCAUUUAAAGAGUGCGUAACAGCUCACUAGUCGAGGAGUCGGGCGUGGAUAAUAAUCGGGUAUUAAGUUGUCUACCGAAGCAGUGGGAUCAUUUAUAUGAUCGGUAGGGGAGCAUUCCAGUCGGCGUCGAAGGCGUACCGUGAGGUAUUCUGGAGCGUCUGGAAAAGCAAAUGUAGGUAUAAGUAACGAUAAAGGGGGCGGGAAACCCCCUCGCCGAAAGACUAAGGUUUCCUGAUCAACGCUAAUCGGAUCAGGGUCAGUCGGGUCCUAAGGCUCAGCCGAACGGCGAUGCCGAUGGCAGAAACGGUUAAUAUUCCGUUACUACCUUCAGGAGUGACGUGGAGACGCAGUAGUGACAGUGCCGCCAUCUGACGGAAUAGAUGGUUGAAGGGUGUAGGAGUCGAUCAUGGCAGGCAAAUCCACCAUGAGAUCCGAACCUGACAGUAUGCCGCGUCCUUCGGGACAAGGCAAUAGUGCGCGUAAGCAUGCUGCCGAGAAAAUCCGCUAAACUUAAUCCUGCAGGUACCCGUACCGCAAACGGACACACGUAGUCGGGAUGAAUAUUCUAAGGCGCUUGAGUGAUUCACGGUUAAGGAACUAGGCAAACUGACCCUGUAACUUCGGGAUAAAGGGUCCCUACCCUUUUAUGGGAGGGCGCAGAGAAUCGGUCCAGGCAACUGUUUAACAAAAACACAGGGCUGUGCCAAAUCGAAAGAUCCAGUAUACAGCCUGACACCUGCCCGGUGCUGGAAGGUUAAGAGGAGAUGUCAUCGAUGAGAGAAGCGUUGAAUUGAAGCCCCAGUAAACGGCGGCCGUAACUAUAACGGUCCUAAGGUAGCGAAAUUCCUUGUCGGGUAAGUUCCGACCUGCACGAAUGGUGUAAUGAUCUGGACACUGUCUCAACCGUGAGCUCAGUGAAAUUGUAGUAUCGGUGAAGAUGCCGAUUACCCGCGAUGGGACGAAAAGACCCCGUGAACCUUUACUAUAGCUUAUCAUUGAAUCUGGGCACGUGAUGUGUAGGAUAGGUCGGAGGCUUUGAAGCAGGUACGCCAGUAUUUGUGGAGCCGCUGUUGAAAUACGACCCUUUAUUUGUUUGGAUUCUAACCCGUGGAACGGGGACAUUGAUUGGUGGGUAGUUUGACUGGGGUGGUCGCCUCCAAAAGCGUAACGGAGGCUUCUAAAGGUGCCCUCACGCCGAUUGGUAACCGGCGGUAGAGUGUAAUGGCAUAAGGGCGCUUGACUGGGAGACUUACAAGUCGAUCAGGUAGGAAACUAGAGCAUAGUGAUCCGGUGUUUCCGUAUGGAAGGGACAUCGCUCAAAGGAUAAAAGGUACUCCGGGGAUAACAGGCUGAUC
RNAcentral lists this ribosomal RNA (1371 nucleotides) under human gut metagenome. RNAcentral's name for it is "bacterial LSU rRNA". It matches the Rfam family "Bacterial large subunit ribosomal RNA", at positions 1104 to 2487 of the family's 2925-position model. The record is from RNAcentral.